GAUGAAGAACGCAGCGAAAUGCGAUAAGUAGUGUGAAUUGCAGAAGUACCGUGAAUCAUCGAAUCUUUGAACGCAAAUUGCACUCUCUGGUAUUCCGGGGAGUAUGCCUGUUUGAGGGUCGCUUAACAAACCAUCGAUUUCGUUGCUUUUUUUUUUAAAGUGAUGUUUAUCGGAUUUGAGCCGUCUUUUUUUUUAUAUUUAAGUGGCUUAAAAUUGAUUUUUUUGGUACGAUCGAAGCGUAUUUUUAUGAUCAAUUUUUGGUUAAAGAAACGCACACGUACCGUUAUUUAUAUGAUGUAAUACGUUUGACUAUUGGAUUUAGUUCAUUCGUAUACGAUAUCUUUCAAUAUUUGACCUCAAAUCAGGUAAGAACACCCGCUGAACUUAAGCAUAUCAAUAAGCGGAGGA
This 408-nucleotide unclassified non-coding RNA is filed under the name soil metagenome. RNAcentral's name for it is "partial contains 5.8S ribosomal RNA, internal transcribed spacer 2, and large subunit ribosomal RNA". The stretch from base 1 to 121 matches the Rfam family "5.8S ribosomal RNA", at positions 35 to 154 of the family's 154-position model. The record is from RNAcentral.